Molecule: ribosomal RNA, 556 nt
Filed under: uncultured fungus
Lineage: Eukaryota; Fungi
Description: eukaryotic LSU rRNA
Rfam family: 5.8S ribosomal RNA (bases 212-365)
Source: RNAcentral
AAGUCGUAACAAGGUCUCCGUAGGUGAACCUGCGGAGGGAUCAUUAACCGGGAAACCCAUCGGCGUCCUCGGGCGCCUGUGGUCCACCCAUUUGUGCACCAACUCUGUUGCCUCGGGGGUGACCCCGCCGUGCGAGCGGCGGCGGCACCCCCGGCGGCCCCCUUCUAAACUUUGCGUACGAGUGUCGUCGGAGUUUUAUAAAAAUUAUCACAACUUUCAACAAUGGAUCUCUUGGUUCUGGCAUCGAUGAAGAACGCAGCGAAAUGCGAUAAGUAAUGCGAAUUGCAGAAUUCCGCGAGUCAUCGAAUCUUUGAACGCACAUUGCGCCCCUCGGUACUCCGGGGGGCAUGCCUGUUCGAGCGUCAUUUCACCAAUCCAGCCUGGCUGGGUGUUGGGCGUCGCGGGGUCGACCCGCGCGCCUCAAAGUCUUUCCGGCUGAGCGUAUUCACCUCCGCGCGUUGUGGCACUGGUCCGCGAGCGAGGUGGGGGCGUCUGGCCGUUAAACCAUUUCUUUCAGGUUGACCUCGGAUCAGGUAGGGAUACCCGCUGAACUUAA